GCACAUGUCCUUUUGAGUGGGAAUGCUGAGUCUUAUAUCUUGGGCACACCCCAGCAGAAGAUAAGAACUAGGGCCUGGCCUGAGACAGUCCUAGAAAGCAUGGUGGUGCACGGUUGCCUCAGGCAUAGAAUUCAGGCCCAAACACCUAGGUCCUCUAAAGUAGUUUCAUUCCCAGUUACAGGGAAGGCUGUCAGUGUAAAUUAAUAAACAGCCAGAAUGAAUAUGUCCUUUCUGUUGCAUUUAAGGAUAUACAGAAACUCAGUCUGGACUAGCAAACUGUUGUGUUAUAAUACUCCAUUCAAUGAAUAGAAAGCAUGCAAAAAUGUUCUCUCAAGAGCAUAAAACAUUUGGCUUCAUAGAUAAACGAAAAUCCUCCACGGUCCUGAUUGUACUGUGAAGUUCACUGAUGAUAAAACAACAAAAAGUCCCUUGGUUUCCAGCCACAUUGUCCUGCAUUGCUACAAGUCAAUGGAAUCCUUGUCCCUGAACACUUCCCUUGGUGGACAAACAGCAGUAUUCCUGCCGCCCUCACCCAAGGACCCUCCAUGUGAAAUCCAGCAGCCGCACCUGAAAGGUUCAGGCCUUAUGCUAACCUGCUCCAGCUAUCUGGAAGAAUCCACUCAGGCAGUACCCUAGUCAGCCCAGGGUUCCAUGGGAACUAAUUCUGCACGCAGGUGUAAAGGACCCCUUUAAAAGACAGACCCCUGCCCACUUACUCUCUCUUCUCCUACUUUUACACUCUUACCUUCCUGUCUCUCUUUUACCCUCACUCUUACUGACCGUUCCUCUUACUCUCUCUCCUCUCUUCCUUUCCACCCUUCUCUCUCUCCUCUUGUUUGUUCUUGUCUCUCCCCCU
Molecule: long non-coding RNA, 856 nt
Filed under: Cricetulus griseus (Chinese hamster)
Lineage: Eukaryota; Metazoa; Chordata; Mammalia; Rodentia; Cricetidae
Description: lncRNA (ENSCGRG00000024793.1)
Source: RNAcentral